UUGUCUCUUUGAUUUCAUAAUAGGUGGCUUCAAGAGAUUAUCAUUGAUUAUAUACAGCUUCAAAAAAAAAAAAAACUCAAACUUCGUGACUCAUUCUAAGCCAUCAAAUUAGACAUUUAAUGAAUGGGAAUAGUUGUGACCUUAUUGUACAAAAGAUAAAUAAUCUCAUUUUAAGCAAUCCCAAAAUAACAAAUUACAUACAUACUGCAGUUAAUAAAACCUUCUGCUAGAAAAAGCUUUCUUCUGAACCCCUUCCUGAAUAAUGCCACCUUGAGGACAAACAAUAUAAAAUUCCAUUCAAAACUCCUUUAACAGGAUACAGAGAGUUAACAAAAGAAAGUUCCAUGUUCUCACUGCUGACUAAGUGACACUUGAAGUGCUUGGACAAGAAGAAGAAUGUGAUAAAAAAAAACGCAUCUGAAAUGAAAAGAAAAAAAAAAAAAAAAAAUCUCAUUACCUUCUUUAAUAAGUAUUUCAUUUUAAAGUCAUCAGAGAUAGCUCACUUUUCUAGCUUUGAUUUGCUUGCAUCCACUCUACAUAAUUGUCCAAAUAUCAAAGGGCAAGCAAGGUCUGGCUCAUAAUUUUUAAAAUCUGGGAAACUGAUCUGCUUCAGAGAAGAUAGUAAUAUCACAUCAGUCCAAUUUAC
This 646-nucleotide long non-coding RNA is filed under the name Amborella trichopoda. Its description in RNAcentral is "long non-coding RNA (ATRI_LNC002673)". The record is from RNAcentral. Lineage: Eukaryota; Viridiplantae; Streptophyta; Magnoliopsida; Amborellales; Amborellaceae.